This 7069-nucleotide long non-coding RNA is filed under the name Haliotis rubra (blacklip abalone). RNAcentral describes it as "uncharacterized LOC124291920, transcript variant X1". Lineage: Eukaryota; Metazoa; Mollusca; Gastropoda; Lepetellida; Haliotidae. The record is from RNAcentral.
UUUCACAUAUCUACUAGCUCCAAGAGAUAUAUAUAAAGCUCUUUUCAAAUUUGUAUUUCCAAGAUAUUUAACUGGUAGAUUAUAUUCACAUAUCUCGCUCCAAUAGAGUUAACUAAAGCAUUUAUUCACAUAUCUAGCUCCAAGAGAGUUCACUGAAGCUUUUAUUCACAUAUCUAGCUCCAAUAUACUUAACUGGUAGAUUAUAUUCACAUAUCUAGCUCUAGGAGAGCUCACUAAAGAUUUUAUUCACUUAUCUAGCUCCAAGAGAGUUAACUAAAGCUUUUAUUCACAUUUCUAGCUCCAAACAAGUCAACUUAAGCGUUUAUUUAAAUUUGUAUUUCCAAGAUACUUUACUGGUAGAUUAUAUUCACAUUUCUAGCUCCAAGAGAGUUCACUAAAGCUUUUAUUCACAUUUCUAGCUUCAAGAGAGUGAACUAAGGCUUUUAUUCACAUAUCUAGCUCCAAAAGAAUCGCCAUCAAAUUAUUCACAUUAACACAAAAAGAGUUAAGCAAUGGAUAUUAUCCAUCCUGCGUAAGAGGGAGUUUAAUUCAGCUCCAAACUCAGCAUGAUCAGGCAGCUGUAUGUUCAUCUUGCCAAAUCUGCUGAAUAUGUUCAAAAUAUGCAUAUAUAUUCAUAUCAACUAUAUCAUAUCACAUGAUCUUGCACAAGCACUUUUGAGAUGUACCAUCCCAGUACAUCAUGGAAGAGAGUGACCAGAUGUAUUUUGCCCAAGUCAUUUUGUAAAAACUUUUUAGAUUUGUGGAAGGAUUAUGGAAUUAUUAUCUACUGGUAAUUAAGUUGCUUUGUGUUUACAUAAGUCCGUUUUCUGUAAAGACAACAGCUGUAAGACUUUACUUCACCCUCUUUGUCAUGCUUUUUUCAAACUUUGUCCCAACAACGGUUAUGCUUAUUUCAACAGUGUUGAGGAUGUAUGCAUACAGUGAAGUAGAGAGCUAGACUCACCCUCUCCUGUUGUAUACAUACAGUGAAGUAGAGAGCUAGACUCACCCUCUCCUGUUGUAUACAUACAGUGAAGUAGAGAGCUAGACUCACCCUCUCCUGUUGUAUACAUACAGUGAAGUAGAGAGCUAGACUCACCCUCUCCUGUUGUACACAUACAGUGAAGUAGAGAGCUAGACUCACCCUUUCCUGUUGUACACAUACAGUGAAGUACAGAGCUAGACUCAUCCUUUCCUGUUGUAUGCAUACAGUGAAGUAGAGAGCUAGACUCACCCUCUCCUGUUGUAUACAUACAGUGAAGUAGAGAGCUAGACUCACCCUCUCCUGUUGUAUACAUACAGUGAAGUAGAGAGCUAGACUCACCCUCUCCUGUUGUAUACAUACAGUGAAGUAGAGAGCUAGACUCACCCUCUCCUGUUGUACACAUACAGUGAAGUAGAGAGCUAGACUCACCCUCUCCUGUUGUACACAUACAGUGAAGUAGAGAGCUAGACUCACCCUAUUCUGUUGUACACAUACAGUGAAGUAGAGCGCUAGACUCACCCUCUCUUGUUGUACACAUACAGUGAAGUAGAGCGCUAGACUCACCCUCUCUUGUUGUAUACAUACAGUGAAGUAGAGAGCUAGACUCACCCUCUCCUGUUGUAUACAUACAGUGAAGUAGAGCGCUAGACUCACCCUUUCCUGUUGUACACAUACAGAGACGUAGAGAGCUAGACUCACCCUUUCCUGUUGUACACAUACAGUGAAGUAGAGAGCUAGACUCACCCUCUCCUGUUGCAUACAUACAGUGAAGUAGAGAGCUAGACUCACCCUAUCCUGUUGUAUACAUACAGUGAAGUAGAGAGCUAGACUCACUCUCUCCUGUUGCAUACAUACAGUUAAGUACAGAGCAAGACUCACCCUCUCCUGUUGCAUACAUACAGUUAAGUACAGAGCAAGACUCACCCUCUCCUGUUGUAUACAUGCAGUGCAGUCGAGAUCUUGAUGGCAUUCAUUAUGUCAUUACUGACUGCUAACCGGACACAUGAAUGUGUUAGGUGUUUAACAUUUUAAUGUACCGAUCAUGUUGAAACUAUGCCACAAUGUGAGCAGACAAAAUGACUUGAUAUUUAGUAUGGUAGAACUCUUUUCAUGUUGAUAUAUUUUUAUAAAUUGUAAGCUUUUAUUUUAAGAACAGUUUGUUUUUAUGUUUGAUAAACAUACAUCAUUGAUUCUUCUUAAAAUUUGAUUUUUUUAUGUCAUUAUUUGAAAUAUUUUACCUUUCUUACAAACUUUAUCAGAUUUGGACUGACAUCCAAAGAAAAGAAUGUUUUAUUGUCAGUCACAUCCUGGGUCUCUUCAUAAUCAGUAGCUUCUCAUUUAACAUUCCGUCCUUUUCAUCAAUGACAAAAAUACUUACAUAGGAAAAUGCAAAUUACAGCUUUAGAAAUAUCAUUUUAGCCUUUUUUAUUGGUACACUUUGAUCCAUUGAUUUACUUGCUGUUUCGUGGUACGUUCUAUCAUUGUUAACACAACAUGACAUAAAGGGAGAUAAGCAGGUUUGCCAGGUUGCAGAGCCUUGCUGUUUGAAAGGAGGUUUCAUUAAUGAUUUGAUUUUUUUUAAUCAAUAUAUCAAUUCAGAAGUAUCGGGAUAGCACCAUAUAUAUUGAUUAAUAGUAGUAUUUUCUCUGUAUGUGUAUAUAUUUAAUUGAGCAAUGACCUGCAGCUAACUUGACUGAUCCAUUUAAGGCUUGUAUUUAAUUUCUGCCUUCUCACUGUCCAUCUUUAACACAAUGAUCUUACAAAAAUGUAAAUGAUUCUGUUAGUGAAUUAUUUAUUUAGUACUUAACAUCAUAAAUUUGUAUUGAUAAAUAUCAACAAUACAAAUGUAUUACGAUAUAUGCUUACAUGCUUAAUUGAACAACUGUUCUGUGUCAGUGUAAGGCACCCAUGGUUGUAUCAGUGUAGAUAACAAGUGGAUCAGGGUGCCGUUGUACAAAACAACCUUAGCGCUAACACUACCUUAAGUCUAUGUUAAGGUUUGGGAGUUACAGUCACCUUAAUGCUAAGAUUGCUUUGUACAACGGACUCCAGAUGGAAAACUUCUCCACACAUGAAGGGGCAGUGGAUAGCCUUGUGGUUUGAUUCCCAACAUGGGUACAAUGUGUGAAGCCCAUUUCUGGUGUUCACCACCAUGAUAAUGCUGGAAUAUUGCUAAAAGCGGCGUAAAACUAAUCUCACUCACUCCCAAUACAUGAAUGAGCUCAAACUGUGGUCUUGUACAUUUAACUUGCAGCAGGCACACCUAUAUGUUAUACUGCAUGUACAUAUACCUCAUGUUUGAUUUGUAAAUAAUUCAUCUUUUCAUAAUGAUCUAAAGAUUGUUUACAUUUGUGUUGAUUUAUAUUGUAGUUCAUUGAUGUCUCUGGUAGACUUAUACUGUCUUGUAUUGAUAGUACAUGCAUAUCCGUGUCAUAUCGGGUCAGCAGAUCGGGUUGGACCAAUCAUGGCAAUCUGUUAGCAUACAGUUUACUGUCAUGUGUUCAUAUACAUGUAUUUUAGUCAAGAAUCUCUCAGCCACCAGCCACACAGCCAUAGGAAUUCAUAUUUAUCAAAGGCUAGUUCGGGGGACUUAUUUCAAGUGUUCUCAGAUUCGGUUGAAGCUGGUCUGCCCAUAGACAGAAGUGGUUACUGUGUUUACAUUGUCUGUGAGUUAUAGUCAGUUUCAGUUUGUAGCAAACAUGAAGCAUUGAGAACUAGUUUGGAAUUAUAGCGCUCAAAUGUAACUGGUGAAUUAGGACUACCAUCGUUCCAUUUUUUUAGUCCACAGCACAAUUAAGUGGUCUCAGGCUUGGAGAUUAGCAUGAACUUCGAAGGCACAAUUAAGUCAAGGAAUCCUAAACUUAACAUUAAGAAAUAUAGAUUCAAGUUGUGUCUAGAUAAAUGAUCACCUGUAUUGCUAAUACUGAAAUCAUGUGUGGUAUUCCUUCAAAAAGACUAUUUCCUCUCAUACAUCUGAAUUUCAGAUGGAUGUGAAAUUCAACUUCAAGUGUCACCCAUUUUUAUUCCACUAAGAAAGCUCUGAGUUUGUUUUCAUGUGAUGAUAAAUGUUUCUGUCAUCUUGUUACAUGGGAGACAAACUUUACUGAAGGGUGUCAGAUUCAAGUUCAUGUAUCUUCUAGCUGAAGCAGUGGCAUGGCAAUACUCUAUAAAGCCAGGUUUAGUCACCACUUAAAGGACUGGCCUGGAUUAUACUACUGAUGACUCAGUGUAUCAGAUUCAGCUCUGUAUCUGCCCGAGAUCCGAUCCCAGCAAGGAAGUGGGUUGUAAGCAGCAGGAAGCUGUAAUCCAUGACCUGGCCUUCUGUACAAAUCGUACUUGUCUACAGAGUGCACUUGAUGAACUGUGUUGUAGACUUCUAUACAAGCAACUGUUCAGGGCCCUGUUAGCUUUCCUCAGUUACUGUCUUAUGUUAACUAUACAUGCUUACUUCUUGUGCUAACCUACCAAGUACUUCUGAUACUCUUACAGUAUAAUAUUUUGUAUUAAAAUGGCAGUCUUGCAUUUCUGUCAGUAAGAAAAAGUAUGAACACUAUAGGAUUAUUCUGAGGUUCCCCAAAAUCAUUUUGCGACAAGAUUCUACCUGUCAGGACCUCUCUGUUUGCAUCUAUGUUUUCUGACAUCUUAACUUACAUGAAAUGUUAUAAUCAGUUUGACAAUUAAUGAAAUAUAAGCAUCUACCAUGCCAUGUAGUUCCCCUUGGUGUCAAGGUCCCUUUGUGAGGGUCACGUAGGUAUCAAGAUGACUGGUUAAUGAGGUUACCUGGCAUUCAAGGUCUUCUGUUAAUGAGGGUCACGUAGGUAUCAAGAUGACUGGUUAAUGAGGUUACCUGGCAUUCAAGGUCUUCUGUUAAUGAGGGUCACGUAGGUAUCAAGAUGACUGGUUAAUGAGGUUACCUGGCAUUCAAGGUCUUCUGUUAAUGAGGGUCACGUAGGUAUCAAGAUGACUGGUUAAUGAUGUUACCUGGCAUUCAAGGUCUUCUGUUAAUGAGGGUCACGUAGGUAUCAAGAUGACUGGUUAAUGAUGUUACCUGGCAUUCAAGGUCUUCUGUUAAUGAGGGUCAUGUAGGUAUCAAGAUGACUGGUUAAUGAUGUUACCUGGCAUUCAAGGUCUUCUGUUAAUGAGGGUCACGUAGGUAUCAAGAUGACUGGUUAAUGAUGUUACCUGGCAUUCAUGGUCUUCUGUUAAUGAGGGUCACGUAGGUAUCAAGAUGACUGAUUAAUGAUGUUACCUGGCAUUCAUGGUCUUCUGUUAAUGAGGGUCACGUAGGUAUCAAGAUGACUGGUUGAUGAGGUUACCUGGCAUUCAAGGUCUUCUGUUAAUGAGGGUCACGUAGGUAUCAAGAUGACUGGUUGAUGAUGUUACCUGGCAUUCAAGGUCUUCUGUUAAUGAAGGUCACGUAGGUAUCAAGAUGACUGGUUAAUGAUGUUACCUGGCAUUCAAGGUCUUCUGUUAAUGAGGGUCACGUAGGUAUCAAGAUGACUGGUUAAUGAUGUUACCUGGCAUUCAAGGUCUUCUGUUAAUGAGGGUCACGUGGGUAUCAAGAUGACUGGUUAAUGAUGUUACCUGGCAUUCAAGGUCUUCUGUUAAUGAGGGUCACGUAGGUAUCAAGAUGACUGGUUAAUGAUGUUACCUGGCAUUCAAGGUCUUCUGUUAAUGAGGGUCACGAGGGUAUCAAGAUGACUGAUUAAUGAUGUUACCUGGCAUUCAAGGUCUUCUGUUAAUGAGGGUCACGUAGGUAUCAAGAUGACUGAUUAAUGAUGUUACCUGGCAUUCAAGGUCUUCUGUUAAUGAGGGUCACGUAGGUAUCAAGAUGACUGAUUAAUGAUGUUACCUGGCAUUCAAGGUCUUCUGUUAAUGAGGGUCACGUAGGUAUCAAGAUGACUGGUUAAUGAUGUUACCUGGCAUUCAAGGUCUUCUGUUAAUGAGGGUCACGUAGGUAUCAAGAUGACUGGUUAAUGAUGUUACCUGGCAUUCAAGGUCUUCUGUUAAUGAGGGUCACGUAGGUAUCAAGAUGACUGGUUAAUGAUGUUACCUGGCAUUCAAGGUCUUCUGUUAAUGAGGGUCACGUAGGUAUCGAGGUUUCUGGUAAAUGAGGAUGCGAGAUCACAUGAACAUGUGUCACGUGGACAUCGAGGUCUCAUUGGCCGCCAUUAUACUAGGGUCAGAAUUCAUCCAAAGUCAUAUCUGUUUCUCACUUUCUUUUCUGGAACAUUAUUCAAGAAAAUAAUGAAUGCCUCCAAACUCGAAAUUGCCCAAACUCACAUCAAUUUUAAUUCAAGUCCCAGUGAUUUUAGAAUAUAAUAAACAGUGCUUGCUACCAAAGGAAGGAUGGUGGUGGUUCGAUGCUCUGCAUCAGUCAUAUUGUUACAUAAUGUUUUAGUUAGAUAACAGCUGUCAUUGUGUGUCUGUAAACAAUGAAAUGUUUUUAUCUGUGUGGAGUGUAUAAUUAAACAUACCUGUUGUGUCCAAAUGAUAAAUCUUGCUUCAGUUAGAUGCACAGCAAGCAGUUGUUGUCGUGUAGGCGCAUUUUGCCAUGCAGUUAGGUCACAUAUUGUUCUACACAAUUUGCUCACAGAAUGUGUUCAAUGUCUUAUCGAAUGGUAGUAUAUACAGAUUAUAUGCCAAUGUUAUAUAUGUGUAUCACUACAAUGAAUGAUUUCAUAAUAAUGUAUCAAUAACAAUGUCCUGCCAUUUUGCAUUAAUGGGUCAUAUAUAUGCCAAAUUUUACAUAGUGAUUUUUUUGCUCCAAAGACUUAUUGUCACCUGUGAUUUUUCUUUUGAAUGUUAUUUGAUUAUCAUUUGCAUAAUUUUUACACAAAUCAGUUGAUCUCAUCAACAGUAAUCAUGAUUUUAAUAUUGACAUAAUCAGUAUUUCAUGUCGUCCCACAGUGAUUGCGUUAUCAUCAAGUGCAGUUGCCAUGACAUCAGUAUUAUAUGUUCUUACCUGUAACUGAUAUGCAAUCAGCCAAAGAUGUUAUCUGUGACUUAUGAAAUUUGUUUCAUAUAUGAUUGUUACAUUUUAUAAAUUUUGUCAAAUUGUGCUGAUUAAAGUGCCAAAGUCAA